This 413-nucleotide ribosomal RNA is filed under the name uncultured bacterium. RNAcentral describes it as "bacterial SSU rRNA". It matches the Rfam family "Bacterial small subunit ribosomal RNA", at positions 917 to 1333 of the family's 1533-position model. The record is from RNAcentral.
GGGCCCGCACAAGCGGUGGAGUAUGUGGUUUAAUUCGAUGCAACGCGAAGAACCUUACCAGGGCUUAAAUGUAGUCUGACAGGGGUGGAAACACCCCCUCCUUCGGGCAGAUUACAAGGUGCUGCAUGGUUGUCGUCAGCUCGUGCCGUGAGGUGUCAGGUUAAGUCCUAUAACGAGCGCAACCCCUGCCGUUAGUUGCCAGCAUGUAAUGAUGGGAACUCUAACGGGACUGCCGGUGCAAACCGCGAGGAAGGUGGGGAUGACGUCAAAUCAUCACGGCCCUUACGUCCUGGGCUACACACGUGCUACAAUGGCCGGUACAGAGGGCAGCCACACCGCAAGGUGGAGCGAAUCCUUAAAACCGGUCUCAGUUCGGAUCGGGGUCUGCAACUCGGCCCCGUGAAGCUGGAAUC